Molecule: transfer RNA, 81 nt
Filed under: Sutterella parvirubra YIT 11816
Lineage: Bacteria; Pseudomonadati; Pseudomonadota; Betaproteobacteria; Burkholderiales; Sutterellaceae
Rfam family: tRNA
About the family: Transfer RNA (tRNA) molecules are approximately 80 nucleotides in length. Their secondary structure includes four short double-helical elements and three loops (D, anti-codon, and T loops). Further hydrogen bonds mediate the characteristic L-shaped molecular structure. tRNAs have two regions of fundamental functional importance: the anti-codon, which is responsible for specific mRNA codon recognition, and the 3' end, to which the tRNAs corresponding amino acid is attached (by aminoacyl-tRNA synthetases). tRNAs cope with the degeneracy of the genetic code in two manners: having more than one tRNA (with a specific anti-codon) for a particular amino acid; and 'wobble' base-pairing, i.e. permitting non-standard base-pairing at the 3rd anti-codon position.
Source: Rfam by way of RNAcentral
GCGGGAGUGGCGAAAUUGGUAGACGCACCAGGUUUAGGUCCUGACGCCUAUGGCGUGCCGGUUCGAGUCCGGCCUUCCGCA